Molecule: ribosomal RNA, 596 nt
Filed under: uncultured eukaryote
Lineage: Eukaryota
Description: bacterial SSU rRNA
Rfam family: Bacterial small subunit ribosomal RNA
Source: RNAcentral
GCCACUGGAAACGGUGAUUAAUACCUCGUAUGCUGAGGAGUGAAAGGUCGAAAGACCGCCAGGGGAUGGGCUUGCGUCUGAUUAGCUAGUUGGUGGGGUAAAUGCCUACCAAGGCGAUGAUCAGUAGCUGGUCUGAGAGGACAAUCAGCCACACUGGGACUGAGACACGGCCCAGACUCCUACGGGAGGCAGCAGUGAGGAAUUUUCCGCAAUGGGCUAACGCCUGACGGAGCAAUGCCGCGUGGAGGAGGAAGGCCUGUGGGUCGUAAACUCCUUUUCUCAGAGAAGAAGAUCUGACGGUAUCUGAGGAAUAAGCAUCGGCUAACUCUGUGCCAGCAGCCGCGGUAAUACAGGGGAUGCAAGCGUUAUCCGGAAUUAUUGGGCGUAAAGCGUCCUGAGGUGGCUUACCCAGUCGACUGUGAAAGCUCAAGGCUCAACCUUGAAACGGCAGUCGAAACUUGUAAGCUUGAGUACGGUAGAGGCAGAGGGAAUUCCCGGAGGAGAGGUGAAAUUCGUAGAUAUCGGGAGGAAGGCCAAAGGCGAAAGCACUCUGCUGGGCCGAUUACUGACACUGACAGACGAAAGCUAGGGGAGCG